GCAGAUGGCUGGAUGAUCGCCGCUUGGUGUAUGCUGAGGGGAGGAAAGUCCGGGCUUCACGGAAACACGGUGCCGGUUAACGGCCGGCGAGGGCGACCUCAGGGAAAGUGCCACAGAAAGCAAACCGCCUGUGCUUGCAUGGGUAAGGGUGAAAGGGUGCGGUAAGAGCGCACCGCGCCUCUGGUAACAAAGGCGGCAGGGUAAACCCCACCGGAAGCAAAACCAAUUUGAAUGAUAGCCCUUUUGGGGCAGGCUCUGUUUCCGAGCUAUCAUUGUGGUAGGUUGCUUGAGCUUGUUGGCAACAAUAAGCCUAGAGGAAUGAUCAUCACUGGCGCAUGUCAGGACAGAACCCGGCUUACACGCCAUCUGCUGCU
Molecule: RNase P RNA, 374 nt
Filed under: Kordiimonas sp. SCSIO 12603
Lineage: Bacteria; Pseudomonadati; Pseudomonadota; Alphaproteobacteria; Kordiimonadales; Kordiimonadaceae
Description: RNase P RNA component class A
Rfam family: Bacterial RNase P class A
About the family: Ribonuclease P (RNase P) is a ubiquitous endoribonuclease, found in archaea, bacteria and eukarya as well as chloroplasts and mitochondria. Its best characterised activity is the generation of mature 5'-ends of tRNAs by cleaving the 5'-leader elements of precursor-tRNAs.
Source: RNAcentral